UAGGGAAUAUUGCUCAAUGGGGGAAACCCUGAAGCAGCAACGCCGCGUGGAGGAUGAAGGUUUUCGGAUUGUAAACUCCUUUUGUUAGAGAAGAUAAUGACGGUAUCUAACGAAUAAGCACCGGCUAACUCCGUGCCAGCAGCCCGCGGUAAUAGAUGUCU
RNAcentral lists this ribosomal RNA (161 nucleotides) under uncultured bacterium. RNAcentral's name for it is "partial 16S ribosomal RNA". It matches the Rfam family "Bacterial small subunit ribosomal RNA", at positions 355 to 533 of the family's 1533-position model. The record is from RNAcentral.